UUACUAUAUUACAUGCAUUACCUCGCUAAAUCACCACAUUAGAACACUUACAGGCCGACUGUGCUGCUUUGUCUGAAUCCAGAACAAAGGAUCGGCCCUUAAGGAGGCUGAUGCGAUGUUAAAGCCCAUCACUCUAAAAUUGGCACCACACCUGGGAAGAGCAGGCAGCACCAUCACUGGCUUUCCUGUUCAAGAAUGACACCUGUCAAUCAGGUUUCUGACACAUCCAUCAUUUGUUAUGUUUAGAAAGGGUGGACCAUCCAUGGCCUUCAUAUCAACGUAUGAAAACCAACAUACUCUCCAGCAAGCUCUACAGCUAUAUGACCCUUAUCCAUGGCAAGUCCCUGGGGAAAAUUAUUCCUUAACAUGGUGUUGAAUGCUGACAAAGUACAUCAGUCAGCUUUGGCUAGCAAAGUUAAGGCUCUGUACCUCUGCUCCACAUGUUUUCUGCAACCUGAGAUGCAGGUCUCACGGCUCAGGGAAAAGAGCACUAUGAAUGAACCAUACAAAGUUUUUUAAAACUUCUGCACAC
RNAcentral lists this long non-coding RNA (532 nucleotides) under Pongo abelii (Sumatran orangutan). RNAcentral's name for it is "lincRNA". Lineage: Eukaryota; Metazoa; Chordata; Mammalia; Primates; Hominidae. The record is from RNAcentral.